GGGUAGUCCAGGCUGUAAACGAUGCGGGCUAGGUGUCACCAGAGCUACGAGCUCCGGUGGUGCCGGAGGGAAGCCGUUAAGCCCGCCGCCUGGGAAGUACGGCCGCAAGGCUGAAACUUAAAGGGAUUGGCGGGGGAGCACUACAACGGGUGGAGCCUGCGGUUCAAUUGGAUUCAACGCCGGGAAGCUUACCGGGGGAGACAGCUGGAUGAAGGUCGGGCUGAAGACCCUACCAGACUAGCUGAGAGGUGGUGCAUGGCCGCCGUCAGUUCGUACUGUGAAGCAUCCUGUUAAGUCAGGCAACGAGCGAGACCCGCGCCCUCAGUUGCCAGCGGGUCGCUUUGCGACGCCGGGCACACUGAGGGGACUGCCGGCGCUAAGCCGGAGGAAGGUGCGGGCAACGGCAGGUCCGUAUGCCCCGAAUCCCCCGGGCUACACGCGGGCUACAAUGGGCCGGGGACAAUGGGGUACCGACCCCGAAAGGGGGUAGGUAAUCCCCUAAACCGGGUCUAACCUGGGGAUCGAGGGCUGCAACUCGCCCUCGU
Molecule: ribosomal RNA, 545 nt
Filed under: uncultured prokaryote
Description: bacterial SSU rRNA
Rfam family: Archaeal small subunit ribosomal RNA
Source: RNAcentral